Long non-coding RNA from Gallus gallus (chicken), 7865 nucleotides. RefSeq lists it as uncharacterized. NCBI's taxonomy places the organism in Eukaryota, Metazoa, Chordata, Aves, Galliformes, Phasianidae. The transcript has 6 exons. The record is from RefSeq and is a predicted model, not a curated record.
GGCCUCGUGAGGCUCCGUCAGAGAGGCCGGCGUAUAAUUAAGGUGCUCUCUCGCUGUGAUAGCUCUUCUAUUUUUAAUGGGCACUGAUGGACCCGUCAAAGUAUUAAAAAUGUUUUGUUUUUUUCCCCCAAUUUUUCAUUUUCUCGGCAGCGAUAGCGCGGGCAGCUUGCAGUGACCCAGGGCUGAAGCGCUCAGGCGGUGUCGCGCUGCUGUGGUGGCAGUGGUGGCGCCAGGCCUGGGCUGCACGCGGUGGGGGGCGGCUGAGGUCACACCGCCUCUGGGCUGAGGGGCAGAGCAGCUGCAGCCCGGAUGAGCAGCUUUUAGUGUCCUCACCUCGUGCCGGUGCCGUUAUCUGGCCCGUCACCUCCGCCAUUUGCUCCGAAGCCACCAGUUUAGCUGUAGCAGACCCAUCUUGCCCAACUGGUGUGCAGUAAUUUCAGAGCAAGGGAAGGGAAGUGCGGCCGCUCGGCUGAGGCUGCCACAGAGCGGGUGCUGGAUCAGACAUUGUGAGUCUCCAGGUUUCACAGAGGAGCUGCCCAGAAGGGAACUCACAGCAGAGAAGAUUGCUCUGUUGUGUGGAGCCACAGGGGCACUGUGCUUCUGCCCCUGCUCUGCAGGAACCCUGACAGCACCAACACAGUGAAGGAAGCUGUCUCCUUGAGCUGAGCUCCAUCCGGCUGUUUUGGGAACACAGGUUGCUCAAAUAAAAAUAAAUGGCUUUGGCACGACCGCAGAAGUGAUGUUAGUGCAUCCCCUGCACAGCCCGUCAGCUGCCUCCUACUUCAGCGAUCCCACUGCAGUUCUGGAUGCAGAGGUUAGCCUUUGUUCUUCAUCUCUCUACAUGCUGAAGAAACUGCAAGGUGGCCAAACCAACAAACUCACAACUGGAUCAGUGCAGUGGAAAGAGCAGAAUUUUAAAUUACAAAUGUGCACAGGAGCUACAGAAAAACAGAGGUCAGAUGUGAAACACAUCCGUUACAGUCAUUUUGUCCUAACGGAGGGAUUGCUCCCACUCCUAUGAGGUAAGCUCAUGUGACAAUGAUGGGGUGCAGGGCAGGGCAGCAGUGGCACACUGCAGGCGGAUGGUGCAGGUAGGGCAGGCACCCACGCCUUUGCUCAUACCAAGAAAUGCCAUCAGAGUCCGUGCUGCAGCUGAGCAGGCUGUACCUGCCUCCUAUCUGCUUACGCUAAAACAUUUGCUCUGUUCUUUUUAUUUUCUGGUUACCUCUGCCAAAGAGAGAGGAAUUUACUUUGUACCGCUGUGGUCCAGCCUCUCUCACCAGUGCAGAAAGCUGAGCCCUGGGGCCAGGUGCACAGCUCCAGCUCUGCUGGCCAUGGUGAGGCCCCAGCACCGACAGAGGUCACGCAGGGCAAGCAUAGCAGAACUCCCAAGUUCUGCUCCCAGCUGUGCCAUCCUGCAGCAGUGCAGCAGGACAAGAGGUUGCUGCCAUUCACUCCCCCAAGUCCCGCUGAACAGACAGAUGAGCCUGGACUGAUCCACAGCCACAGGUGAUUGGGUCCCCAAGUGCCAGUAAGUGACACCUUUCACAACUUGCAACAUGGAGUUGCACAUAUGGUUGUCACCAAGACUGUGACGCGACAGCAGACAGGGCUGCACACUGUGACUGAUGCUUUGUGUGGCCUUGGGCUGCUUCCACCAGGGUGAACACAGAAGCAGGAGCUCAGCUGCAGCCUCACACCACGGCCAGCAUGAGAGCUGCGUCAGGGCAGCCUGCACACUGAGACCAGAGUGCCCAGCACCCAAAGCACAGACAGCCACCCAGAAAAGUGACCUCAGAACCACUUCCCAAUGCACUGAAGUUAUUAAUUUUUUAAGUGCUCAGUAUCCUUGAAAAAGGAAUGAGGCCACUUCUGUUUAGGAAACUCACCUCAGGGACCCCAGUGCAAAUACCUCACAGGUUUGGUCUCAUGGAGACGAAAGUCUCUCAGCUGUGGCAUGAUCAAAGGAAAUACCUCAAGAAGUUCCUGAGAACACCACUGCUCGGCUCACUCACUGCUCAGGCCGCCUCAUACAUAUGCCUCACCAGCAGAGCUGGAGUAUUAUUAUCCAAUAUAAAAACCAGCUCGUUGUGAUGUGGUGUGCAAUUGCGGAACUCGAGAACUGUCCCCAUAGUGUGCUAUCUCAUAGACACCUAGACUGCGUAGAGAUUAUUUAGUUAUUAAGGUUUUAAUUAAAUCCUCGCAUGCAGACACAUGUGGCAAAGGGCUGCCUACUUAGCAACAGCAGGUUAUUAAGAUGAAUACGGGGUUUUUCUUUUUAAAGCUGGAAAUCAUUAACAAACACAAUCAACUCAGGUAGCUGAAGCACCUAGUACGUUCUUGGAAAAAAUACAGCAGUGUGUGCAGGAGCACAGCAGCUGCUGAAGCUCGUGGUUUCUGCUCGUGUUCCUGGGCAGCACGCUGGACAGACCACCACACUGGACAGACCACCACCAGCCCCCACGCUUGCUCACUGCUCAGAUUUGCCCUCACUGCCACAGAGCCCAGCCCUGAGGAGCUGAGUGCGGGGAGGUUCUGCCCUGGAGACGGCGGGCAGGACAAGCAGCCCCUUCCUGCACCAGGAGGGCGAUGCAGCAGAUCCGAUCCCGGCAGUGAGCGCUCAGACCACUGCUGCUGGGAUGGAGGCUGCUGCCAGUAGCAGUGAGCCUUCCCAGCAUGUUUCACAUCUGUCCUCUGCUGCAAACAGAACGUUCAUUGAAGCAGCAGAAGCUGUGAAAUGAGUAACAAACCUCUUUAGACAUCUCUGGACUCUUCAGAGGAGGGAAAACACGUCAGGAGCCUUCAUAGCACUGUAUUUCUUUAAGUACAUCUCCAUAUUUGCAAUGCUGCAGUGCCCCAUCUCUGUUUCAGACCUGCCAUGGGCAGCAGCUAGCAGACUUCUGGCAGGCAGGACAUCACCUCAUGGAAUACACAGCAGAGCACCACCUGAAGGGUGGCAGUGUGCACACAAACCACUGUGCCCAGCUGCUCCUCGCACACCACGACUCUGUGCAAUUCCCUUUGCUUCCCUAUCACCGGUGCAGCACACCAGACCCAACCAACUGCCCACAUCCCAACACAACCCUGAGACAAAGUGAUUUCUGGUGACGCGGGCUGCAGCCCGGUGCUUUGCAGGGCACGUGGCUCUGCUGGUGUGCUCUUCAGGGAAGGAUCUGAGCUCUCAACUCGAGCAAGAACCUUGCAAGGCCAGUCAGCCUUCCACAGCCCAUGUCUGCUAACACAGCAUCUCCAAGCACAGAUCGGAUCUGCUCCUCUGGCACACAUGGACACAGCUGCAAAUACUAUGCAUUUAUUUCUACGUACAUGAAUGCUACCUAGCCCCAUUAUCUUUCCUUAGAAACAUACAGUUAAUUCACUAACGUAUUCUACAAUUCUUAGGAUAAAACCUUAAAAACAAACCUAUCUGCACCACACAGAGAAAACUGACUGGAGAGGGCUGAAGGUGAAGGCCCAUCUUCUGUUUUCGAGUCUGACACUACAGGAUAUCUGAAGACAGAGUGCUUAUUCACAGACUGCAGUCGCUGACAUGACAAACCCAUAAGUGCAGCCAACACAUCCCCAUUUCCAAGCUCACGGCACAGCUGCAAGCACAAGCCCAGGUUGGUCCCUCAGCGCUACCCCCAUGCUGAGGACAGUGAGGGCAGCCUGGCAGAAGCCAGCAUCCCUGGUGCUGAAUUUCCACCAGCCCUGCGCCUGCCCACCACUGCAGUGAAGGUCUGGCCAUAAGUAUUUGCUCAAACCUAAAUGCCGUAAGGACCCCUUUCUUCAUGGCAAAGCUGAACUUGGGUUUUUCAGCACACGACUCCAGUCACGCUGCGUGCUGCCAGUUGCUCAGGAAGAAAGCUGCACUUGUGUAAGGGGGGAAUUCCCCUGGAAACACUAAGGAACAGAACCUGGCAUAAUGGGCUCUCGCAGCUCAAGUGCUCUAACGACCAUCAUAAAGCUGAAGGGCUGCAAAGGACACCAGGGGAGGGCUGUUUGUAUCGGAAUGGAAAGCAGCGUCAGUCACAGCACACCUGCCACCCCAAAUCACGUCAGCUGUAGCUUCGUGUACCAGCGUGGUUUAAAUCUCAGUGCACAACUAAGAAUUAAGGCAAAAAUUAUUCUUUCUUUCUCUUUUGCAGAAAUUGCUGCUACUUUUAAGCUACAUUCUCCAUCUUCUUAACAUGGCUGCAGAACUGGAGUUCAAAGACUGGUAACAGAAUCUCAGUGGUUAAAUCAAAGUGAAACGUAUUGUUACUAAUUAUUUUAUAACAGUUAUUCCUACUGAACACCAAUGACAAGGUUUGUUUUUUUCCAUGCCAAUUCAGUGUUACUGUGCUGUAAUACAUUGGGCAGCAAAAGCAGACACACAGGACUGUAGAAUUCAUCCGCUCUGAACACCAGGAGAACUGUCAUUAAUUUCUCCCUGUGCAAUUAACCUGAACCACUUUCAUGACGGCUCGCAUUGCUUAUGAACAAGCCGGACUUCGUGUCCUCAGUUCUGCUUUUAAUGCCUCAGUGGAAGUUUAGACUUCAGUUAAUAUGGUGCUGCAUUUGCAGAUGUAAAUAAACAGAAGGUGGAGUUGAUCCCCAGGAUCUGGACGUGAGACCUGACCCACAUUUGAGAACAGAGAGCCAUUCUUCAGAGACUUUACAUCAGGAAUACGGUUAUUUACAGACUACAAGCACUUAGAAAAUAUUUAGCUUAUGCUUUGAAUAUUGAUGUGACGGUGGGUUUUUUUUUCCCCCUUCUGCAGGCUUAUUUAUUACUAUACAGAUUUACAAUUUUGCUUUUAAAUUAUUUAUAUACACAUGGCUCAAAGGGAGAGUCUACCACCAAGGAGAACAAUAACAAAUAGUUCUGUUCGUGGAUGGUGAAUUGCUCCUUGGCAUCACUCAUCCUUCUUUUGGAUUUACAACAUAAUAACAUUUUACUGUAGUUUUCUAUUUAAUAAUUUGUUUUGCGUGAACAUUCAUCAAAGUUUGACUUAAAGCAGUUCAUCCAAUUGAAAACAAUCAUUAAUUAACCAACUGCCUCGUGACACACGUUAAAAAUGGGAUGAUUCUACUCGCUAUAUUUCACCAACGGCCAAAACAGUUUCCAGCUGUUCCCUAUUUUUCUUCCCAGAAUCUGAGCAGACCUUUGGCACGUCUUUCUGAGAUGGUGGCAGGACGCAGGGGCACAUUUCACAUAGAGCUGAAAGGUCUGUUUGCCUUCAACUAUGAUGUAACGCCUAAAAUUUGAGUGGAGCUGGGACCCUGGCUGGUAGCAUCACCAGGCAUGUCUUUGUACUGCCUUCCAUGCAGGAACAGCCCACUUCCUUACACCGGCGUUCAAUUAAAUCCCUCCAACCUGGCAUUUGUUUCAGAGGUCAGAGACCAAACUGACCAUAAAGACUGAUUUAUUCUCUCAGUCUGGAGUCUUCAAACUGUGCUUGACAGAAAUUCUUUGAGAAGCUGCCCGUAAUGUCUUGCACCUGUGGAAGAAAUAGGAGUUUUCUAUGGGCUAUGGGUCAGGGAUCAUUGCAUGCAGCAGCCCCCUGGGCACAGCACAUUCUCUCACCAACGUAAAUUUGGAGCGCUUCCACCGAAUUGAAUUUACCAAACUUCGGGGCUAAGAGCUACUUACAAGUUUUUCUAAUUAAAAAGACACCAUUAUUAAAGUCACCACACACUUUCUGAAGUGAAGAGACAAUAAGCUGCACCGCAUUGGAAUUACUGCACAGUUUGAGACUUGCUCUUUCAGGUGCACCAUCCUGACGUGCUGCGUUCCUCACCAUGCCAUCAUUUCACAUCUUUCCCAUCACACCAGCUGUACCACCUGCCUGCCCCCUCUCUUCUGACACCCACUACUGUAUGCAGACCUCUACAUAGAAAUGAACUGCCAAAAUAUCCCGUAAGUGACAGCUGCUCCUAAUUCUGCAAAGUCUCCAGGUUUAGGUAAUUCAAGUGAGAUUUGUAUUUUCAUUGGGAGUGUACAGCCCUCGUGGAAUGAACGUGAUCUGACACCUACCUGUACCCGUAUCCGCGUAGCUGCUGACUGAACAGUGCCUGUGCAGGGAAUGCAGCACAGGCUCAAUAACUCUAAAGAGACUGCAGCACAACACCCAUUUCCAGCACCGGUAGAAAAACAAGGAUAUUUCUGUAGCAAUUCUUUGUAGCAGUCUGGUUCUUAAGUUUCUUUGUUCUUGUUACAUCUGUGCAAAGCCCAUCUAGGAUAGAAGUUCAGUGUUUCAGUGGUAAUCCACGGCACAGGUGGCAGGGAUGGCACGAGAACUGCAGCGCUCAGAGGCCUGACAGCGCUGUUAUGGAGCCCAGGGGAAUCCUGUUUAGUUGUGAAACAGCCUUUCCCAGCAACUUGGGAGCUCCUGCUGACAUGCUUGAGCCCUCUUGAAGACCCCGAAGCCCCUGCCUUAACAACUGUAUGUAAAACAGGUCACAUACAUCAUGCAGUUACAGACGAGUUAGAAAACCAAAAUCAGACUGCAAGGAGAAGAGUGUGGCAAUGCAAGGAAAUGAUGCAGAAAGCAAAGUUUGGUUCUGAUAGGAAACUGAAGAAAACCAUUUCUGCUGCAGUUUUGAUUUCCUCAAGUCCUGCAGGGCUGUGCUGGAAGCCAGCCUGCGAGUGCCUGCGGGACAGGAGCCGGGUCCGUGCUGCUCAUGGCACUUCAAUUACUCAAGUGGAUUUUGGAUCACGUUAGAGCCCAUUUCAACAGAACCGCAUUAAGGCCACUAACAAACAGAAGGAGCACUCCUUUCCCUCAGCGUUCCCACUUCCCUUCAGUAGCAGCCAAAGCCCCGCAGAGCUGCCAGUCUUACUGGUGCUCCUGAAGCCCCCGUGCCAUGACCAAGGAGCAGAGGUGGCACACUGACUGCUGAUGGGGCAGCAGCCAGGCUGGGUCAUGUGGCACCACAUCCCCAACUGCACAGAGCUUAAUUUCUCUCUGAGAAAUUAAGGAAGAGCUUCACAAAAACACCUGCACUGAUUUAUAACGAGCUGCAAAAGCUGCUACAGACUGCGCCAGGGCAGAAGAUGAAGGUGCUCUGAAUACUGAGAAAGAGUCAUUUAUUCUAUAUAGAUUAUAGAGCCUAAAUCCUUUAUAUUGGUCUGAAUGUAAAUAAGCCAGUAGUUUUCCUCUGGUGACAUGCAGCUGGUCUCUACUUUGUCGCACAUUCCUAUAAACACAUUUCUGCCUUGCUAUCUGUGAUCUCUGCUCAGUGGGAAGUAAAGACACCAAAUAUCUGAUUAAUUGGACCUGAAACGUGCAACUGUGAAUUUGUUUCACUCCUGAAUUUCCCGCACCUCCAGGAUCUGAACCCAACUGAACAGAACCGAGUACCAUUAAUUUACUCCUUGGCACUUGAAUAAUGGGAUACAACAUUCUUCGUAAUGUGAUUAGGUGAAAAAUGAAUUUUGAGCUAAAACAUGCAGAAAAAUAACUAACUGCAUUAGUGGUAGCUGAGCAGUAAAUCAGCAUCCAGCCCUGCACAUCCUUCUUCAGCACUACGAUGGGAGCAGUUCCACCGCAUCCCAAUGCAACAGCCAACAGCAAAACCACAACUCAGAUUACCCACAUCACGAGGCUGACUAUGAGUGCUGGGGUUGAGGUUCCAGCCAUUGAGUGUCAAGCCUGGGCCGCAUUCUCAGGUUUUUCAUUGUAAGCAGGGGAACCAAAAAGCCACACUGCAUAAAGCGUGCAAGCUAAGUAGUAAUGCAGCCACGGACUUCUGAAAGUCAACACUUCAAGACUUGGAAUAGAGACCACAGUAGAUGGAAACCACGUAUUUCACGUUCUGUGGAUGUGACGCCAGCUGUAAAUAUCUGCAACCCCAAAGUAAAGAGCAAGAUGUGAUAGUUCUCA